UGAUGAUCUAUGGGUCUGGCUUC
RNAcentral lists this non-coding RNA (23 nucleotides) under Rattus norvegicus (Norway rat). Lineage: Eukaryota; Metazoa; Chordata; Mammalia; Rodentia; Muridae. The record is from RNAcentral.